CAGCAGCCGCGGUAAUACAGAGGGUGCGAGCGUUAAUCGGAUUUACUGGGCGUAAAGCGUGCGUAGGCGGCUUCUUAAGUCGGAUGUAAAAUCCCUGAGCUUAACUUAGGAAUUGCAUUCGAUACUGGGAAGCUAGAGUAUGGGAGAGGAUGGUAGAAUUCCAGGUGUAGCGGUGAAAUGCGUAGAGAUCUGGAGGAAUACCGAUGGCGAAGGCAGCCAUCUGGCCUAAUACUGACGCUGAGGUACGAAAGCAUGGGGAGCAAACAGGAUUAGAUACCCCAGUAGUCCCUGUCUCUUAUAC
RNAcentral lists this ribosomal RNA (301 nucleotides) under uncultured bacterium. RNAcentral's name for it is "partial 16S ribosomal RNA". It matches the Rfam family "Bacterial small subunit ribosomal RNA", at positions 509 to 807 of the family's 1533-position model. The record is from RNAcentral.